Molecule: non-coding RNA, 115 nt
Organism: Triticum aestivum (bread wheat)
Lineage: Eukaryota; Viridiplantae; Streptophyta; Magnoliopsida; Poales; Poaceae
Source: Rfam
UGUAUACUCCAUCCGUUCCAAAUUACUCGUCGCAGAAAUGGAUGUAUCUAGAACUAAAAUACAUCUAGAUACAUCCAUACUUGCGACAAGUAAUUCAGAAUGGAGAGAGUACAUC